This 489-nucleotide ribosomal RNA is filed under the name uncultured soil bacterium. RNAcentral's name for it is "bacterial SSU rRNA". It matches the Rfam family "Bacterial small subunit ribosomal RNA", at positions 26 to 518 of the family's 1533-position model. The record is from RNAcentral.
AGAUUGAACGCUGGCGGCAUGCCUAACACAUGCAAGUCGAACGGCAGCGCGGGGGCAACCCUGGCGGCGAGUGGCGGACGGGUGAGGAAUACAUAGGAAUCUACCCUGUCGUGGGGGAUAACGUAGGGAAACUUACGCUAAUACCGCAUACGACCGAGAGGUGAAAGCGGCGGACCGCAAGGCGUCGCGCGACUGGAUGAGCCUAUGUCCGAUUAGCUAGUUGCGGGUAAUGGCCCACCAAGGCGACGAUCGGUAGCUGGUCUGAGAGGAUGAUCAGCCACACUGGAACUGAGACACGGUCCAGACUCCUACGGGAGGCAGCAGUGGGGAAUAUUGGACAAUGGGCGCAAGCCUGAUCCAGCAAUGCCGCGUGGGUGAAGAAGGCCUUCGGUUGUAAAGCCCUUUGUACGGAAGAAAUCCUGUCGUUAAUACCGGCGGGACUGACGGUACCGUAAGAAUAAGCACCGGCUAACUCGUGCCAGCAGCCGC